GGUCGCACCAUUGCACUCCAGCCUAGACAACAAGACUGAAACUCCUUCUCAAAAAGAAAAGUUUGAAUUUUUACGGAAGUCAACGUUAGAAAAAUAUUAAUGCCCCAAAAUGUGUGGUAAACUAUAACUGUUUCUACAAUUUGGCAUUUUAGGACAUCAACACUAAGAAAAUAGAGAUUUUUGUAUUAGCAGCCUCUCUCACGCUCCCAAAUAGGUUACUGCAUCUUUAUAGUGGCUCACAACUUACACAGGAACUAAGAAUUUUGCCUAGGAAUUUGCCUAGAAAUUUAUUCCAAUACGUGAUAAUUCAUUUGUAUAGAAAUAACAAUAGAAGAGAUGCAAGGUUUUGUACUAAAAGUACACCUUUAUUAAAACAGUUUUGGUUGGAUUAAAGAUAAAAAUCCUGUCAAAGAAAUAUGACAGAAAAGCUAAUCAGUGGUUUCACCAAUUAAGAAAACUACUGAUAUGCAGAAGAGAAGGGCCUCUUCAGCUCCCCACAUGCCACUUCAGGGUUAGUGGGCAUGUGCUAUCAAUGCAUCUCUCCUUCUUUCUCCAUCACCUUAUUUUUGAAAUUUUUUAAUUAAUGAAGUCCUUUAAGUAUAAUGGAGCAGAAGAAUGUGGAUUAUAAAAACAGAGCUUUUGCAGAGACAAAAGUAAAAUUGAUGUACAUUUUCGGGUAGAAAUGUCUCUUGUUUCGUUCUUCUCAGAUUACAGGUGGAAAAACCAAGACACAAAGGAGGAGAGUUAUUAGCCUGAGGUCAAAAAGUAAGACAGCACCAAUACUAAAAAUAGACUCAGUCUCCUGACUUACACAUUUAUACUUUCUCCCUUUCAGGCCAUAAUACUUUGGUGUAAUAUGCAGCUUUAAAGAAAAAACUUAAACCAUUGCUGUUCAAUGGGAAGUAUUGUUUUCAGACUACAAGUUUACAAGACUUAAUAAAUCCAAUGAAUGAUAUUUAAAUUUUUAAACCACGCCUUUACCCAUUGUUGAGUUAGUUCAUCCUUCACCAUGAUCAACUCCGUAAGAGCAAGAGGUCUAUUGAUUUUCAUGUAAUACAAGAAAAUAUUACAUUUACUUGUUAUACAGUGAGCACAUCAGACAAGAAAUCAAGGCCCUGUUUAAUGCUGCAAGCAGCAGAGAAUUACAGAGAUCAAUAGGGUAGUUUGUCAAAGAUGUUCUCCAAGGACACUUACCUAUCACAUAUGGGCAAGAAGUCACACUGACUAUAGCUAUUGAAAAACAGGUAAGCAGAGUCAGCAGUACAAAUUAUCAGAAAUCAAACAGGGCAAUGAUUCAUCUUAAAGAAGCA
RNAcentral lists this long non-coding RNA (1310 nucleotides) under Homo sapiens (human). Its description in RNAcentral is "HSALNT0221806". Lineage: Eukaryota; Metazoa; Chordata; Mammalia; Primates; Hominidae. The record is from RNAcentral.